This is a non-coding RNA of Hypanus sabinus (Atlantic stingray), 259 nucleotides long. RefSeq annotates it as small Cajal body-specific RNA 2. The record is from RefSeq and is a predicted model, not a curated record. Lineage: Eukaryota; Metazoa; Chordata; Chondrichthyes; Myliobatiformes; Dasyatidae. The transcript has a single exon.
CUGUGAGGGAGUGGGUGAGUGAGUGAAUGAGGGUGGGUGAGUGAGUGGGAGAGAGCGAGUGGAGCGUCGCCCCCUACACUGAUCUUAUUUGAUCGGCCGGCAUCCCGGGCGCCGGGCCGGCGUGAUGAGAAGCCGCGUGUGAGCUCCGGCGGUGAGCGGGCGGCGGCCAAGCCCCGGGCCUGCGGGUGUGAUGAACCGAUCAGAUAGACGAGGCUGCGGCUCUGCCCGGCCGCUGAGUAUCGAGGCGAUUCUGAUCCGC